Molecule: ribosomal RNA, 194 nt
Filed under: uncultured eukaryote
Lineage: Eukaryota
Description: partial 18S ribosomal RNA
Rfam family: Eukaryotic small subunit ribosomal RNA
Source: RNAcentral
UCAACCUGGUUGAUCCUGCCAGUAGUCAUAUGCUUGUCUUAAAGAUUAAGCCAUGCAUGUCUAAGUAUAAAUAGUAUACAGUGAAACUGCGAAUGGCUCAUUAAAUCAGUUAUAGUUUAUUUGACAAUACUUUUACAUGGAUAACUGUAGUAACAUAGAGCUAAUACAUGCUGCACGGCCCGACCUCGGAAGGG